UCAGAAUAUAAAUCAAAUAUAUUUUCAGUUUCUUUAGUACUAAAACCAAAAACUUGAAUUGAUUUGUACAUAAGAUCUUGUUGUAUGUAAGUUCAAAAAGUACUGCUUACAAGCAUCUUAGGUGAACAACCGACAUAGUUUAUAUAGACAAGGAAACGAGUAGUCAUAUUAAUGUACAAGCAGUUUUUAAUUCUGAAACUUGUUUGAAGGAAUCGAGUUUCCCUUUGCUUUAUGCUCUUCUUAGUAUUUAUUUUUCUCUUCCUUCAUAACUUGAACAACAUUAUAGAAGUUGAAUACAUGAUUGUUCCUUUGGGCACCUUUACUGAAGCUGCAUUUUAAUUUAUUGUUCAGUAAACAAUGUAGCCGAUCCCAACUACAUUUGAAUUAAGCCUUAGUUGUUGUUGUUGAGUUAUUGUUCAGUAAAUAAUAUAUAUGUUUUUCCAUCCUAUAUCAUGUUCAGAAAUUUUUGACAAAAACUUUACAGG
This 485-nucleotide unclassified non-coding RNA is filed under the name Hevea brasiliensis (rubber tree). Lineage: Eukaryota; Viridiplantae; Streptophyta; Magnoliopsida; Malpighiales; Euphorbiaceae. The record is from RNAcentral.